This 254-nucleotide ribosomal RNA is filed under the name uncultured bacterium. RNAcentral describes it as "partial 16S ribosomal RNA". It matches the Rfam family "Bacterial small subunit ribosomal RNA", at positions 524 to 776 of the family's 1533-position model. The record is from RNAcentral.
UACGUAGGGUGCGAGCGUUGUCCGGAAUUAUUGGGCGUAAAGAGCUUGUAGGCGGUUUGUCGCGUCUGCUGUGAAAAUCCGGGGCUCAACCCCGGACUUGCAGUGGGUACGGGCAGACUAGAGUGUGGUAGGGGGAGACUGGAAUUCCUGGUGUAGCGGUGGAAUGCGCAGAUAUCAGGAGGAACACCAAUAGCGAAGGCAGCUCGCUGGGACGUUACUGACACUGAGGCGCGAAAGCGUGGGGAGCGAACAGG